AACCCCACUCUUAUAAAUUGAAUCAUUUUAUAUUAUGUAUGUAAUAAAUAAAGAUCACUUUCAACAACGGAUCUCUUGGCUCUCGCAUCGAUGAAGAACGUAGCGAAGUGCGAUAAGUAAUGUGAAUUGCAGAAUUCCGUGAAUCAUCGAA
RNAcentral lists this ribosomal RNA (151 nucleotides) under Glomus sp. CMCCROC4. RNAcentral describes it as "5.8S ribosomal RNA". The stretch from base 56 to 151 matches the Rfam family "5.8S ribosomal RNA", at positions 1 to 96 of the family's 154-position model. From Rfam's summary of the family: 5.8S ribosomal RNA (5.8S rRNA) is a component of the large subunit of the eukaryotic ribosome. It is transcribed by RNA polymerase I as part of the 45S precursor that also contains 18S and 28S rRNA. Lineage: Eukaryota; Fungi; Glomeromycota; Glomeromycetes; Glomerales; Glomeraceae. The record is from RNAcentral.